Molecule: long non-coding RNA, 1148 nt
Filed under: Triticum aestivum (bread wheat)
Lineage: Eukaryota; Viridiplantae; Streptophyta; Magnoliopsida; Poales; Poaceae
Description: long non-coding RNA (TAES_LNC018273)
Source: RNAcentral
GAUUCUUUUUUUCAAAGAUGAAUAACACGGUAUAAUAAGCAAUGGCAUUGUGCAAGCAUCGACAGCAAUACAAAUAGGAGUAGCAUCUCAAUCCUUUGCUAUCUCUCUAAAGCUCUCUACUACUCUCUUUUAUUCCUCUCCCAAGACCACACACGGCAGCAACAGCACGCUCAAUCUCUCUUCUUCCUCCCAAAAUCAGCAGCCAAUCUCUCUUCUUCCUCUCAAAUCGAACAUCAAUAGCCCAGGCACCGCCGACCACCACACCUAUCACCUUCCGCAACCGCCUGGUCGUAACUGCUGCUGCUAGCGGGCGUGUGUAGGAGGAAAUCAGGCUGCCCCAGCCAUAAGUUGAAUUGCCCGUUUAUUACUGAACCAGAAAAUUACAUAUUUUAUAUUUGAUCAGCAACCUGCUUGGAUCAUCAAGAAAAUAGCUUAGCUUGCCCAGAAGACAUGUAAAUUGCUAGACGUGUUCAAAUUAUUAUCUACAUGAAUCUAGACGUGUUGUUGAGGAAUAUAUGAAAAUGGUACAUAGUAAAAGUCAUAAUUCUGUCCCAAUUAUCAACUUUUUGUACUUCACAUACAAAUUUAAUUGAUAAGAAAUAAACUAAUCAAGGCAGCCAAUUUUUUUACCGAAAAGUCUGUCGGUUAAUGUUCUCUUCAUCCACCAUGACCUACUCUGUUUUCCUGCAAAAUCCACAACAACUAAACUAAUCUUUGUUUCUAUGAUGCAUGACAUUGAAUAGAUAGCACAAAUGGUCAACCGAAUAGUCAUCUCACGAUCCAAGUGGCCAAGCCCUUCUUCCAUCUCCUCCCGCCCGGUUAAUCACAUGCAAGAUCUUUAUAUAUAGUUAGAAGCAGAUGCAUUGCUAGAACUCUUUAAUCAAUAUAACUUUACUAUGUAUUUCUUUUCUCUUUAUCCCUUCUUCCCUCUCCUCCCGCCCGGUUAAUCUUCUCUAAUUAUUUGUUUUCAGUUUUCUUGUCAAGCUUCUAGAAAAAAAAAUCAAAAUGCUCACAUGAAAGAGAAAACCGAUUAUUUUAGAGUGGCAAAGAAAAUUGAAAGAUGAGACGAUACCUUGAUAAUAAUAUGUGCAGAUCCACUUGUGCGACUGCUUGGGUCAUUGUUCAAAUACAUUCCCCAAAUGGGCUUG